GACGAACGCUGGCGGCGUGCUUAACACAUGCAAGUCGAACGAUGAAGCCGGAGCUUGCUCCGGUGGAUUAGUGGCGAACGGGUGAGUAACACGUGAGCAAUCUGCCCUUGACUCUGGGAUAACUGCGGGAAACUGUAGCUAAUACCGGAUACGACACCUUGGGGCAUCCCAGGGUGUGGAAAGAAUUUCGGUCAAGGAUGAGCUCGCGGCCUAUCAGCUAGGUGGUGAGGUAAUGGCUCACCAAGGCGACGACGGGUAGCCGGCCUGAGGGGGUGACCGGCAACACUGGAACUGAGACACGGGCCAGACUCCUACGGGAGGCAGCAGUGGGGAAUAUUGCACAAUGGGCGAAAGCCUGAUGCAGCAACGCCGCGUGAGGGAUGAAGGCCUUCGGGUUGUAAACCUCUUUUAGCAGGGAAGAAGCGAAAGUGACGGUACCUGCAGAAAAAGCACCGGCUAACUACGUGCCAGCAGCCGCGGUAA
Molecule: ribosomal RNA, 483 nt
Filed under: uncultured bacterium
Lineage: Bacteria
Description: partial 16S ribosomal RNA
Rfam family: Bacterial small subunit ribosomal RNA
Source: RNAcentral